Molecule: ribosomal RNA, 1008 nt
Filed under: uncultured Mycoplasma sp.
Lineage: Bacteria; Bacillati; Mycoplasmatota; Mollicutes; Mycoplasmatales; Mycoplasmataceae
Description: bacterial SSU rRNA
Rfam family: Bacterial small subunit ribosomal RNA
Source: RNAcentral
UGAUGGAGCGACACAGCGUGCAGGAUGAAGGUUUUCGAAUUGUAAACUGCUGUUAUAGGGGAAGAAAAACUUGGAUAGGAAAUGAUCCAAACUUGACGGUACCUUAUUAGAAAGUGACGGCUAACUAUGUGCCAGCAGCCGCGGUAAUACAUAGGUCACAAGCGUUAUCCGGAAUUAUUGGGCGUAAAGCGUUCGUAGGCGGUUUGUUAAGUCUGGAGUUAAAGACUGGGGCUCAACCCCAGCCCGCUCUGGAUACUGGCUGACUAGAGUUACAUAGAGGUAAGUGGAAUUCUUAGUGGAGCGGUGGAAUGCGUAGAUAUUAGGAAGAACACCAAUGGCGAAGGCAGCUUACUGGAUGUACACUGACGCUCAGGGACGAAAGCGUGGGGAGCAAACAGGAUUAGAUACCCUGGUAGUCCACGCCGUAAACGAUGAUCAUUAGCCGCUAGAAUAUUUAGUGGCGCAGCUAACGCAUUAAAUGAUCCGCCUGAGUAGUAUGCUCGCAAGAGUGAAACUUAAAGGAAUUGACGGGGACCCGCACAAGCGGUGGAGCAUGUGGUUUAAUUUGAAGAUACGCGUAGAACCUUACCCACUCUUGACAUCUUCCGCAAUACUAUGGAGACAUAGUGGAGGUUAACGGAAUGACAGAUGGUGCAUGGUUGUCGUCAGCUCGUGCCGUGAGGUGUUAGGUUAAGUCCUGCAACGAGCGCAACCCCUGUCUUUAGUUACUAACGGAUAAUGCCGAGGACUCUAGAGAGACUGACUGGGUAACCAGUAGGAAGGUGGGGACGACGUCAAAUCAUCAUGCCUCUUACGAGUGGGGCAACACACGUGCUACAAUGGACGGUACAAAGAGAAGCAAUAUGGUGACAUGGAGCAAACCUCAAAAACCGUUCUCAGUUCGGAUUGAAGUCUGAAACUCGACUUCAUGAAGUUGGAAUCGCUAGUAAUCGUAGAUCAGCUACGUUACGGUGAAUACGUUCUCGGGUCUUGUACACACCGCCCGUC